RNAcentral lists this ribosomal RNA (1496 nucleotides) under metagenome. RNAcentral describes it as "bacterial SSU rRNA". It matches the Rfam family "Bacterial small subunit ribosomal RNA". The record is from RNAcentral.
AGAGUUUGAUCCUGGCUCAGGAUGAACGCUAGCGGCAGGCCUAAUACAUGCAAGUCGAACGGCAGCAUAGUGUAGCAAUACAUUGAUGGCGAGUGGCGCACGGGUGCGUAACACGUAUGUAACCUACCGGGUACUGUGGACUAUCCCCCGGAAACGGGGACUAAUUCCACAUAAGAUGAUUGAGUGGCAUCACUUAAUCAAGAAAGAUUUAUCGGUACCUGAUGGACAUGCGUCUGAUUAGCUAGUUGGCGAGGUAAAGGCUCACCAAGGCGACGAUCAGUAGCUGGUCUGAGAGGAUGAUCAGCCACACUGGCACUGAGACACGGGCCAGACUCCUACGGGAGGCAGCAGUAGGGAAUAUUGGACAAUGGGGGCAACCCUGAUCCAGCCAUGCCGCGUGAAGGAAGAAGGCCCUCUGGGUUGUAAACUUCUUUUAACUGGGGAUAAACCCUCACUAUAUGUGGGGCUGAAGGUACCAGUAGAAUAAGCACCGGCUAACUCCGUGCCAGCAGCCGCGGUAAUACGGAGGGUGCAAGCGUUGUCCGGAUUCAUUGGGUUUAAAGGGUGCGUAGGCGGGCAUAUAAGUCAGUGGUGAAAUUCUGGGGCUCAACUUCAGAUGUGCCAUUGAUACUGUAAGUCUUGAGACGAGUCGAGGUAGCUGGAAUGUGUAGUGUAGCGGUGAAAUGCACAGAUAUUACACAGAACACCAAUUGCGAAGGCAAGUUACUAGGCUCGGACUGACGCUGAGGCACGAAAGUGUGGGGAGCAAACAGGAUUAGAUACCCUGGUAGUCCACACUGUAAACGAUGGUUACUAGAUGUUCGGGUUUUGACCUGAGUGUCCAAGCGAAAGCGAUAAGUAACCCACCUGGGGAGUACGACCGCAAGGUUGAAACUCAAAGGAAUUGACGGGGGCCCGCACAAGCGGUGGAGCAUGUGGUUUAAUUCGAUGGUACGCGAGGAACCUUACCUGGGCUAGAAUGCGCGUGACGUUACGAGAAAUCGUAAUUCCCUUCGGGGCACAAAGCAAGGUGCUGCAUGGCUGUCGUCAGCUCGUGCCGUGAGGUGUUGGGUUAAGUCCCGCAACGAGCGCAACCCCUAUUCCUAGUUGCCAACGGGUCAAGCCGGGGACUCUAGGGAGACUGCCUGCGCAAGCAGUGAGGAAGGUGGGGACGACGUCAAGUCAUCAUGGCCCUUACGCCCAGGGCUACACACGUGCUACAAUGGACGGUACAGAGGGUCGCAAGCCUGCGAAGGCGAGCUAAUCUCAAAAAGCCGUUCUCAGUUCGGAUUGGAGUCUGCAACUCGACUCCAUGAAGCUGGAAUCGCUAGUAAUCGCGCAUCAGCAAUGGCGCGGUGAAUACGUUCCCGGGCCUUGUACACACCGCCCGUCAAGCCAUGGGAGCUGAGGGUACCUAAAGCCGGCCACGCCGUCUAGGGUAAAAUCAGUGACUGGGGCUAAGUCGUAACAAGGUAGCCGUACCGGAGGUGCGGCUG